This is a non-coding RNA of Halteromyces radiatus, 72 nucleotides long. Lineage: Eukaryota; Fungi; Mucoromycota; Mucoromycetes; Mucorales; Cunninghamellaceae. The record is from the annotation of a RefSeq genome assembly.
GGGUUCAUGGUCUAGUGGUAUGACGUCGGCUUUGCAUGCUGAAGGCCCGGGGUUCAAUUCCCCGUGGAUCCA